This 825-nucleotide ribosomal RNA is filed under the name Triticum aestivum (bread wheat). RNAcentral describes it as "partial small subunit ribosomal RNA". Lineage: Eukaryota; Viridiplantae; Streptophyta; Magnoliopsida; Poales; Poaceae. The record is from RNAcentral.
AUGAGCAGCGCCGGCAUGGAGUGCUCGGGGAGCGAAGGCGGCGGCGGCAUGGUGGCGCCGUUCGUGGCCAAAACGUACGCGAUGGUGGACGACCCGGCGACCGACGCCGUGGUCGCGUGGGGGCCGGCCAGCAACAGCUUCGUCGUCGCCGACCCCUUCUCCUUCUCGCGCGCGCUGCUCCCGGCCCACUUCAAGCACUCCAACUUCUCCAGCUUCGUCCGGCAGCUCAACACCUACGGCUUCCGCAAGGUCGACCCGGACCGGUGGGAGUUCGCGCACGCCUCCUUCCUCCGCGGCCAGACGCACCUCCUGACCCGCAUCGUCCGGCGCCGCAGCGGCGGCAAGCGUGGCAAGGAAGACGCCGACGAGGAGGAUGAAGACAUCAGCAGCAAGAUGUUAGCCAUGGAGGUGGUCCGGCUGAAGGAGGAGCAGAGGGCCACCGAGGACCGCUUGGCGACGAUGUGGCGCCGGGUGCAGGACGCCGAGCGCCGGCCCAAGCUGAUGCUCGCCUUCCUCCUCAAGGUCGUCGGCGACCCCGACGUGCUGCGCCGCCUCGUAGGCAACUCGGGUGGCGGCUGCGGAUUAUUCCCCGGCGAGGGCGCGGAGGCCAAGAGGCCGCGGCUGCUUCUCGACGGGGAAGCCCAGAUGGGCAAGAAGAAGAUGCGCGUCGACGGCGACGGGCUCUUGUACGAUAUCAACCGGCAGGAGGCCUUCGUGCGGGAACCCAGGGUCAACUUCACUGGUUUCUACACCGGAGGCGAUGGCUUUAGCGAGGUGCCGGUGGACGACCCGCCGUACGCUUUCCGCAUGGACGGUGGUUACUGA